This 461-nucleotide ribosomal RNA is filed under the name uncultured bacterium. RNAcentral's name for it is "bacterial SSU rRNA". It matches the Rfam family "Bacterial small subunit ribosomal RNA", at positions 29 to 532 of the family's 1533-position model. The record is from RNAcentral.
AGCGAACGCUGGCGGCAGGCUUAACACAUGCAAGUCGAACGCCCGGGCAACCGGGAGUGGCAGACGGGUGAGUAACACGUGGGAACGUACCCUUUGGUUCGGAAUAACUCAGGGAAACUUGAGCUAAUACCGGAUAAGCCCUUACGGGGAAAGAUUUAUCGCCGAAGGAUCGGCCCGCGUCCGAUUAGCUAGUUGGUGUGGUAACGGCUCACCAAGGCGACGAUCGGUAGCUGGUCUGAGAGGAUGAUCAGCCACACUGGGACUGAGACACGGCCCAGACUCCUACGGGAGGCAGCAGUGGGGAAUAUUGGACAAUGGGGGCAACCCUGAUCCAGCCAUGCCGCGUGAGUGAUGAAGGCCCUAGGGUUGUAAAGCUCUUUCGGCGGGGGACGAUAAUGACGGUACCCGCAGAAGAAGCCCCGGCUAACUUCGUGCCAGCAGCCGCGGUAAGGCACGACUGU